RNAcentral lists this long non-coding RNA (288 nucleotides) under Mus musculus (house mouse). Its description in RNAcentral is "long non-coding RNA chr17:34392402-34392690". Lineage: Eukaryota; Metazoa; Chordata; Mammalia; Rodentia; Muridae. The record is from RNAcentral.
AUGCCCAAGAGGAAGGUUAGCGGGUGCGGAUGGAGCGAUGAAGGCGGAGCCCAAGCGCCGCUCUGCGAGGCUGUUGGCCAAGCCCGCCCCUGCCAAACCGGAAAAAAGCCGCGGGAAAGGAUAAAGCAUCAGACAAAAAAAGUGCAGAUAAAAGGGAAGAGGGGAGCAAAGGGCAAACAACAGGCUGAAGCGACUGACCAGCAAACCACAGAUCUGCCCUUAGAAGAUGGAGAGACGGAAAACCAGAGUCCAGCCUCGGAAGAAGAGAAAGGAGCCAAGUUUGACUAA